This is a long non-coding RNA of Homo sapiens (human), 780 nucleotides long. Ensembl annotates it as SCN1A and SCN9A antisense RNA 1. Its record names the gene SCN1A-AS1. NCBI's taxonomy places the organism in Eukaryota, Metazoa, Chordata, Mammalia, Primates, Hominidae. The record is from Ensembl.
GGCCGAGGAGACGCCAAGAGCGAUGAAACAAGCUUCUGGUUCAAGAGUUUCUUCAGGUUCCACUACGGGCUGUUCUUCUACAGGUGCGCCGAUGUCCACAGUGCUACCUUCUGAUGAGCUACUGCUUUCAUUCAGUUUCUGCUGACUUAAUAUGUGAGCUGACAGAAUGCAGAGACCACGUUGUAUAUGAAGCAUCCACUUUGCCUUGUACACCAGGGCAUUCAAUAACCACUUAAUAACUACAACCCUGAUGAUCCGAUUCACUACUAAAGUCUUCCGUGUUUAAAUUUUCAAAGUCAGAUUCUCCUACAGCAAUUGAACCUGAGAAAGAUGAAUGAAAUUUAGUGUUUCCCAUCCCCGAGAGACACCCAGCAUCCACAACUUCACACUCUGAUGCCAUUGUGUAUUUAUGCAAGAAAUACCAUAACUAAGAUGAGGUCUCGCUAUGUUGCCUAGGCUAGUCUUGAACUCCUGGCCUCAAGUGAUCCUUCUGCCUCAGCAUCGGGAGUCACUGGGAUUAAAGGCAUGAGCCACCAUGCUCAGAUACAGUUUUUCACAAAUUGAAAGUUUGUGGCAACCCUACAUCCAGCAAGUCAAUUUUGGUGCCAUUUUUCCAACAGCAUGUGCUCACUUCGUGUAUCUGUGUCACAUUUUGGAACUUGACAUCAUCAGACAGUAAAUCAAGAGGUACUGACAACUGAGACUGAGUGAUGGUCCCUGCCUAGGAUUUGGAAUCUUUGCAUGAAAUAGGGACUCUAGCCACCAGCGACAAAGAAGUCA